This 250-nucleotide ribosomal RNA is filed under the name uncultured bacterium. Its description in RNAcentral is "partial 16S ribosomal RNA". It matches the Rfam family "Bacterial small subunit ribosomal RNA", at positions 525 to 775 of the family's 1533-position model. The record is from RNAcentral.
ACGUAGGUGGCGAGCGUUAUCCGGAAUGAUUGGGCGUAAAGGGUGCGUAGGCGGCCCGUUAAGUCUGGAGUCAAAGCCGGCAGCUCAACUGUCGUACGCUUUGGAAACUGGCGGGCUGGAGUGCAGAAGAGGGCGAUGGAACUCCAUGUGUAGCGGUAAAAUGCGUAGAUAUAUGGAAGAACACCAGUGGCGAAGGCGGUCGCCUGGUCUGCAACUGACGCUGAAGCACGAAAGCGUGGGGAGCAAAUAG